GGCUCUCAAGUUUUGAACUAAGCUUAGAGUGAGAUUUCCUUGGGGGGGGGGCGGUUGAAGAGUGAUUGAAGAUAAUUAUUUGUAUAAUAAUCUCUUAAAUACAACGGAGUAUGAGGGCCACAUUAAAAAAAAACGUUUUUAAAUCUUCGAGAAUAAAGUUAUCAUUUAGGAGAAUAAAGUCAUUAAUAUCUAAAUAUCUAAGAAUAAAGUCGUAAAGUUACCUGUUGUGGAAGAGAGUUGUUAAAAUCAGCACUGUGGAGCAUUUAGAUGAAUUGUUCUUUAGUAUAGGUUUCACAAACAUGGAGAUACUCAAUCCUUUGGUACAUGCGCGUUACACUGUCAUGAGUAUCAGAACUUUAAAAAGAAUAUAUGAGAAAUGCUCCUUUGUGGAGGGGGAAAUGGCUGUACAGAGGCUAAAUUUAUCAAUACAGCUGUUAAUAGCAAUAGCAUAGGGCUUUAGUUUAUCAUUUGUGUUUAUAUGCCAUGAGGUGUUGAGGUCUCUGCAUGCGUAGGUUACUGACUUACUGUAAUCAUCGGGUCUGUCUCGUCCUUAUAAAAACCUGCUCUAUUUCGCCGAGUGUCUGUCAAAAUCAUAUCAAAAUCUACCCGGAUACAGCAAUGCUGCUUUUUGAUUAGCUGUUCAGUAGAUAUACUUUACUUGAUUGGCUUGUGCGUGGCACGCAGCGUCAACUCUCGGAGAAACUCACUUGAUUCCUACCUGUUCUAUAGUUAAAGAGGUGCAACUUGGGGGACGUCACCAUAUUUAUUUAAAUGCGUGAGAAAUACAAUGUGUGGCGUGUGAGCGUGUGAACGGGUGGGAAUGCGUGUGUCACACGCUGAAUGCGUGAGACUUGAGAGCCCUGUUAAACCAAAGCAGUUAAAAUGCAAAUGCAGCUUAUCUGCAGCUUAGCAUGAUGUAGGUUGUGAUUGUAAAGGUAAACUCUGGCAUCCCAGCAGGUUGUCUUGGCCCAGAAACAGCCUGGCACAAAAGAAAACCUCAGAUGAAACAGAAACUGUGGAUAUUGUGUGUAUUGAGGUUUGCCUGGAUCAAACACCAUUUUGUCUGAGUUAGGGAGCUUUGAAGAAGGAUUUUGUCAAGUUUGGAUGAAGCCAAAGUAGCUGUGUCUUUCCAGUUUUUGUGCUAAGCCUAACUAGACUAACUAGCAGCUGACUUGGGCUUUAUAUUGACAUGGCAUGUGUGGUAUAAAUCUUCUCAGCUAAAUGCCAAGAGAAAAAAUAGUAAAAGUAGGUCCCGUGAUGUUUACUAUCUCUGUAUCUCAUCAGCUUGUGCAAGGAUCACUUCACUUUCAGUAAGGGACUAAGGGGAUAUUAUCAGUAGACAAGGCUUUUCAUCACUGUAAAACUUAGUUCAUAAAGGCCCCUGUAACACCCCCUGAUAAAACACUGAGCAAUGAUCUCUGGUGUCAGACUCAGUACGUUGACAUCUGUGUUUCUAUUUAUGUGCCUGGUAAUCCUCCAUUGUCUUUGUGUCUCCAGGCUUUUUGACAUGCAAAUGACCAGCAACUUGUCUUCAUCUGAAUCCCCCCUGCUCAUCAUAAAGACUGUGGUGAGGCCUCAUCCACCCUCACUGUGAAAUCCUCAUUAAUGAAGUGGGGCAUAUGCCACACUGUUGGCCCCUUCAGCUGAAGUCGGAUCCCAGCGGCUGGUUUAUAUCAUCCAUCACUGCCAUGUUUCGACUCUGUAAAGAUUCCCAUGCUACUUUCAAACCUAUUUAAAGUUGUAUCAUGUAAGGAAGCAUCCAAGUCCUCAACGGCUAAUACAUAUUAAAAAAAACAACUUAAAACUCCACUUAAAAGUGUGUUCUUUGUUCUUACCUAUUGAAGGAAAGUACAGUUAAGAAAUCUGCAGCUAUGACUUGGAAAGAAUCCCUCUUGCCACUCAAGCACAUCCUGGUAGGCAGAUACACAUGGAGACACAACCAGGUCCAGAGAAACUUGAGUGCAAGAGGGCAUCCAUCAACACCCAGCCCUCCAACAACCAGGACAUGCACCUGCACCCACCAGCAUUUGUCUGCGAGGUGGACAAGAUGAGGACUAGGCCCUCAAUCCUUGAUCUGGGCCCGAUGAAUAUCGUCAGGGACUGGCAGCUGCAAGUCGGCUUGAAUCAGAAGCUCAUUUUUCCCUCUGAGAUUGCAGCGACCACCUUGCAACCAGACCUUGUCCUCUUGUCUAAUUCCUGCUAGCUUGCUUACAUCAUUGAGCUGAUGGUGCCGUGGGAGGAUGCCAUCAAGGAAGCCUUUGAGCAUAACAAGCUGCAGUACUCCAACUAAGCAGCUGAGGCAGAGGACAGAGGUAGGAAGAUCAAGGUGCGCCCGGUGGAGGUGGGGUACAGGGGUUUUGUAGCCAGAAGGGAGGUUGGAGUUGGGGAACAGGCCAUCAAAGAACUGGCCAACACAGCUGAAAGGACCAGUUGCUGGCUGUGAAGAGUGACACCACCUGGGCUGCUAAGGUACGGUGACCAGACGUCCUCAAUUUCCAGGGACUGUCCCCAUAUUGGAUGACCUGUCCCCAGCUAAAGCUGUCCCCGGAAACAUCCCUGAUUUAAGCUUUUCAUGAAUGUGAACAAAAAUGUUGGGUGUAGACUAGAACAACGGUUGUCACAGUAGCUGAGUAGGUAGGAAGCACGAGUAAGCAUGUUGUGUGCAUUCCCAAACAAAGUUUUCAUGGGGGGUUAUUACGGGGAUGUGCAGUGCUAAUAAGUAAUACUGAGAUGUUGUCUGUGAUCAUGCAUGUCUAUGUCUAUGUCUAUGUCACCCCCAAUCCCCGCUCUGGAUGUCCCCUGAUUCCACUGCAGAAAUCUGGUCAACUUAUGCUAAGGUGAGCAGCUAACUGCGAGACAUACACCUGUGAAUACAAGUACAACAUAGGCAUGCAACCUGUUGAAAUGUUUAACUGCAAAACAUGUAGUCGUGUUAUGAUUGGCUGGUAGGUUGGGAAAAAAGAAAGAAAUAAUGAGGUUUAUCUUCUUCAGCCUUGUUGUGUAACUGUUUGGUAAAGAGUUGGACAGUUCUGUUUAUUUAUCUGUAUCUUUAGUCAAACAUUUGUAAAAUAGACCCGUUGAGUUGAAGCUGAGGUCACUACAUUCAGAACUUUUCUCUCUGUUACUCAGUACUCUUGGAGAAACAGUGCUGGCACGUCGAGUCUGUCGAUGGUGGCCGGCAUAGGUGACAACUCGACAGACACAGAGGAAGAUGCCAGAUGGACUCCAGGCCUGAGGGCCCUGAUGGGCACAGAUGGGUGGGUGGGUGGCACCCACACAGGCAGAACAGGCGGCUGUGCCAGCACCAACACUAUUGAAGAGAGAGAGAUCGCACCAUCACUAGUGAUACUACAUCUCACACUUCUUCUCUUUAUGUGUGUGUCCAUCCAUGAAAAUGACCCUUUGAAUAAGGACAUGUGGGCAUUUGACUGUGAGAGUUUGCUUUUCAGCGCAUCUAUUCUAGACGUCUCUGUGUUGUCCAUGCUCUCAUACCCCUUUAUUAAUACUGGUAAUAACUAUUUCAUCCUGUGGGAAACUGGAUUCCUGCUAUUCUUACAUAAAACCAACGAAAUCAAUGCAUCACCGCCUUGACUACCGUUGUCACAGGUGAAUCAACUCAGUCAACAGGAUUGGUAGACCAUGGAGUAAUCCUAAGAUAGUAAAACUGAACUAACUUUUAAGGGUUCAAGAAAACAUUUUGGCCUUUUAACUGAUGGAGAGGGUCAAUCAUUUUUCAUCAGUACGCUCUGUGAGUGUGUAAUAGUAUUACAUCUGGUCCUGGGGGUGUGAUGAAUCACUCAGCUUACACGACCAGUAAGACUGGGUUCACCAGGACAGGAACAGAUUUGAUCACUUAUUUUGAAGACAGCUACAAUGAUCGAAUGUAAGUGAUUUUUCACAAUUCAAUUGUUAUAGGAUUGAACACUCAUUUCGACAUUCCUUGAUGCCAGUAAGUCCAGGUGUUGUACAGACAUGAAGAAUAGAAGAGAUUAAACCUACGUGACCCCAAUGUCAACAUCAGUUUAUACUGUGAGUUCUUUGUGUCGAAUUCAUGUACUCGAGUUAUAAAUGCUGUGUUUGUUGGAGGGCCGAAGGGUUGCAGGAUGACUGACUUGAGGGCUCCUUCUCUCUGUUACCCAGCCACCUAAGGGACUUUCCACUGGUCUGGCUCUGUGUUCAUUAAAACCUGUGCAGCUGCCAGAGAGGAGUACCUGGCCGCCUGACUGGUGGGAACCUGCUGCCGUCACCGAGUACUUUAAAGGAACUCAUUGUUCCAGGUGGACAGAACAUGCUGUAUAAAUAAGGACUCGUUGUUUUAGGAGAUGUGAGAAGAAACACAUGCAGACAAGCUAAACACACACACACAGUUGUGUGAAGACAUGAGACAUACACACAAGCGCCCAAAAAGAUCCCCGAGAUUGAAUCGAAACAGAACCACAAAGGCUCAAUCUGUGCCGCGCUGUGCUGCUGUUGCCAGGCUCCCGGAACAACAUCAACAACUGCAGAUCCCAGCAGGUGAACUGAGGUGACUUCAACAGCUUAAUAUUCCCUAGACAGAGCUAUUUGUCCAUUACGUCUAAUGUGAGCACGCGUGUGAGACAGAAACGUGGUCAGGGAGAGAGAUGGGAAAAACAAAACGUGAGAGGAAAGUGAGAAGAAGCGAGGGACUUACAAGUGGGAGUUAGUACAGUGUGUGUCAAGAGAGGAAGAGAAAGAGAGUUUGGGACUGUAGUUAUUACAGUCUUUUAACAAGUGUGUAAUUUGAUCAAAGGAGCCGUUGACCUCAUGUUCAGUUUUGCCCUGCGGCUGUAAUGUGUUUCUCCAGCAUGAUGAGAGGAGCCCUUUCUGCUGAUGAAACAGGACACUAUUUUGGGGAAAUAUCUGUCCUAAAGAAACAUUUCUGGUUUGAUGGCAGCGAGAUGCUGCAUCAUGUUGCUGUAAACAGACAAUCUGUGAAUCCAGGUACUGUGUUUUACCGAUAUGUUUUAUUAAGAUACUGUAUGUAUUUCUAACAGGAAAAACAAAACAAAAAUGUUCGAUAUAUCAGAACAUUAAGAUGACUUUUAUUUGCUCUCAGGAUACAAGCAAUACAAUGCUCUCAAAAGAUGCCUAUUUGAAAGCAUCUUCAAGCCUUUGAAGCUGACCUGGAUUUGUAAGUGGCAGACCUACAGAGCAAGUGAUGAAAACAAGUUAUAAAAAAAUGUUGGUGGUAUUUCUUGGAAUAUUUGGUGUGAAUGUCCUCAGUGUUGUUGGUGUCGGUGAUGAAAGUAGUCAACUGAUUCCAAAAUAGUUGCUAAGAAAAGCUUUUUGUUUUUACACUCUACCCUCAGGAAGUUCAGCUAUGGUCAGAGCUGUCCUUGUCCCAGUUCAAGAGCAAAAAUUUACAUUUCACAUUAUGAACAUGAGCGUGCCCAGCUCCACUGCGGCAGGUGGAAUCAUGUCCUCUUUAAGCCUGUUACUACAGUCUAUGGUCGUCUCCUGGUUUCACGUACACAUUAAAUCAGUUGCCAAACUUCAUUAGCAAGAGGCUAAUGGGAUGUAUGUGAAAUAAUAAAAACACUGUUUGUACGAUAGAUAAGAUUGUCUUUUUUGUCCCUUUUUUUCUCUCAGAGUUUUGUUUUUAAAAGUCCAGCUUCCUAACAACACAUCCAGGUGUGCAAACAUCGGGGCAUGCUCAAAACACUCGGACCAGUUUCAGUCAUGUUGAAGCCGUAUACAUGACAGAGAAAGUCAAUCUCUAAUUGCAUUUUCCAGGUAUGUUAGUUCAACUAUGAGAGGUUUGAUUGAGUGCAAUUUCAGUCAGACCAAUGGGUUUACUUUUUUCGAGCUAAGGCAACAAAUCGUUAUUGUGGAAGAACAUAUGAACUCCUUAAUAUUCACGUAUAAUGGGAUGUAUUGUAAACAAGGAGCCCUGGCCUACAUUGCAUUUGCUUUCUACAUAACUGUACUCUAUGGGUUGAAAACAUCAGGGUCACAGAAAAACAGCAUCCUUAUCCUUAUUCUCUGCACCCAUGAGAUGUUUUUGCUGUUGGAAACAAAGUAAACAGAGACCAGGAAUUAAAGCAGCAGUUCCUCUUGAUUUCAUACACCACUGAUGGUUGACAUGAUGGGUCUAGAAUAACAACAAAACUUUUUAUCUGUGUUUAUGUGAAAGUAAACAACUUUGAGAACACCUGCAACAACUGAAGGCAUGUUUUACCCAGUACUGAGAACUCUGGAGACGAUGAAAAGAGCCAACUAAUCCCUUUUGCUCCCAUCAUGCCGAUCAGGGUUGUGUUAGUAUGUAGCUCGUGUGGAUGCAGAUGAAGUACUUGAUCAGUCAAAACAGCAAAGACUAAAGAGCUGCUUGAUUCAGAAAACAAGGACACCACCAUUCAAUUACAAAGUCAAACCACUAAGGUUGCUCUUUGUGAAGUCCUGCUGUAUACGAUCAGGUUCUGUUCGUCAAUUUGCCACCAAAUACAUAGAAGAUUUUUUCAUUAGCUCCAGCUGGGCUACUUCGAGCAAUAGUCGGUUAUAGUUAGCACAAGUUAGCAUGUCAGUGUGGGGAGAUGGUGACCACGAUAAACUUUAUAUUCCCAUAAGUUCUUAACAUAGACCGUAUAUAGAAUGGACGCCGUCUGUCUCCUCGCUGGGUGAAGCCACCCCAGAACAGCACCCUCGGGUGACGGGCUGCAGUAUAGAUCACAAAUCCCACCUUCUCCAGCAAUCCUCAUGGAGCUGUGGACAAACUUCAGAAAUUUAUUACACAGAAUAUACAUAUUUCUCCCCCUUACUUGUGAUGUUGACAUGUAGUUAUUGUAAGACUGGUUUGUGCUCAAGUCCUCUUUUUUCUGUACAGCUCCAUUUUUAAAAGUUAUUAGGGGGUUCAUGUUUUCUAUGAUUGACACUUAAUACAGUCUAUGAACGUACGAAGAUUGCAUAGCUCACCCAGGGAAUAUGCUGUUUGAGCAUCAUUAUAGCGAAUUUCGGUGACUCUCCCCCGCCAAAUGCGCGCAAUGCUACUGCGCAAGUGGUGGAGUUCGUACGACGCUACAGCGCAAUGUUGGUUUCAGGAAGUGGAGAAAAAUCGCGGAAAUACUGAGAGCUUUUCAGCUGUAAAUCCGUAUACUGGCAAAAGGCGGAACCAAGGUGUCCAUAGUAUAUACAGUCCAUGGUUCUUACCUGCUAAACGUUAACGUAAUAGCAUGCUGAAGUUAGCAUUUAGCUCGGACCUAAGCUAUAACCAUAAGCACACUUAGCUUUUGUUUCUUGUUAUUUUUGUUAUUUUCACCCAAAGAGAUCCAUCCGCUAAUAUUACAACCAGAGAAACUCAUUCAAAGUGCAGACAUCCCCUCACUCAGCUGGUGUAACUCAGUUUUCUCACAGUGAUACUGAUGUGUUGUCCUAGUAAGAAGGCACUCAGACCCAGUGGUUAACACUGAGGACACACAGCAAGAUGUUUCCAUUCCCUUGGCUCUGUUGAUUCUGGGAGAAGUUUUCACCUUCUCAUCUGAUGCUCAGGUUUCUUUCCCACAAUCCGAAGACAUCCGUGUCAAGCACAGCAGAUUAGAGAGUGAGCCGGGCGAUGAAUGAUGCCUAGAUAGAAGUAUUUCCUUUCGGCACAAUGCAUAGUGGGACAGGCUCCAACCCCCUGUGCCCUCAUAAUAAACAGGAGGAGGGAGUGAAUGACUGGAUGUUCCCUUGGUUGAGAGCACGGCAGGACUACCUGUCAGUCAGGUUCACUUACAGGACCUUGGCUCUCAAGCGUUGCCUUCAACUCAAGACAAACAGGGCCCCUGAAGAUAUCAAAAAUUCAUUGGGGCAGAUAGCACAGAUCUUGUGCACAGAGUCUGUAGGGGUUUAAAAAUCGGAUGAGUGGCUGCAUUUUUUUCACUGACACGUCUGCACUGAGGUGUGAGUGUGAGUCCAUGGUGUCAACUGUACGCUUUCGUAGACCAGGGCGCUGAGGACGAGCAAGGGCUUCAAGAUUCAGGGGAAACCCAGAGCGAUUUCUUCAGGCCUUUUUAAAGUUGUUCUGACCACGUUUUUAAGAUUGUUUUGCAUGGUAUAAAAUGUGCUGAGAACAAAGUACCAAGUUUUACAUUAAAAUGCUUGAAAAAGCUCCUGUAUGCCAACUGGCCAGCACUAGAAAGCAGACAAAGAAUACAUAGGAAGUGUGAACAUUGAGCUCCAUCAAAUUUCCAUCUGCAGGCUGUCGGUUGUGAAAAUGUUCAGUGCAUACAGAAAAGAUGUCAUUCACAGUUUGAGGCCGUUCCUGUCUCACGUUUGAUGGUUUUUAUACACAUCAGACUUGUUUGCACUGCCUCUGCUGUAAAAUUGUUGAAAUUCUUCAUUAGGAUUAACUCUUUUAGAGGUUUUAUCUCAUUCUUGAGGGAAUAUCUAACAUCUCUGUGAGCAAAUGCAUGAUCAGCAGUGCCUCUCAAAGUCUCCUGUAACUGUGUCUUAAUGAGACGGUAUGUUACUGCACAGACAGUCGAACACACGCCUGUCCUUGCUCUAAACUGCAUAAAACAGUGUCAAAAUCAAUAUAACAGUCUCUGUCAAAUGAGUUUAAGUCCCCACCGUCUAUGUCCUAAUACAGUCAGUCUGAGUCAUCAGCACUGAGGUCCAAGUCUAGUUAUGAGUCCCAAAAUAUGAACUCGAGUUGGACUUGAGUCAGAGCUCUGUACCCAAGUACUACACUGAGGGUGAGGUCAUUGCUGGCCUCAACAUCAACCACAGCAGUUCAGCACUUGUUGUAUUUAUGCAAUCAGUCGAAGAUGAUUUCAAUCCCACCCAUGUUAAAUAAACCACCAAAGGUCAUGAAACCAUUUAACACUGAACAAAUAAGAACCUACUGUUCUUACCUCCUCUGAAAACAGACUUUAGGUUAUCUUAGGUCAAAUUUCACUGCUACAUUUUCCACAUUAGAGUAACAUACCUUCACUUUAAAUGGAGGAUAGAUGUCAUAAAACACUGUGGUAACAUUUCAAUGCCAAGCCUUUUGGAAAGUAAUGUGCCUGACUAGCUGUGUGACGGUGUUUUUAAAAAAGUGUGACUUUAACUUCAGUUUACUUUUUGAACUUAUUUUUAGAAGGGAAUUUGCAUUUGAGAGUGACUGUACUUUGAAUUUUGUGUUGGCUAUAAAACUUAGCUUUAGACUGUUACUAUCAUUCAGAAUGCAGCAGGUGUAUUUGGAAUGAAAUUUGGUUUGCAUAGGCCUCAGUUAACAGAUUCAAGUACAGUGCAGAUAUAUAAAAUAUAUAUAAAUAUGCAGCAGAAGUCCAGUGUAAGUUCAGAAGCUGUGAGUAUGAGCAGUAAAUUUUGCGUAUUUAAAAGUCUGAUGAUUCGGGGGACAAAGCUGUUCAAGAACCUGGUAGUCCUGCACCGAUUGCUGCAGAAGAAGGCCAGCAGGAUAAAUGGUCCAUGAAGGGGGUGAGAGGAGUCACUGCAGAUCUUCCUGGCCCGAGACACCCAGCAGUUCUGUGCAACAUCCUGGAUGGAGGGGAGAGAAGUCCUGAUGAUCCUCUCUGCUGCCCUCACCACUCUCCUCACAUCCCUCCAGUCAGAGGCACUACAGCCUUCACACCACAGAGAUACAACUGGCCAGGAAGCCCUUGAUGGUGCUUUUGUCAACUUUAGUGAACCCCCAGGAACUUUGUGCCGCUGACCACCUCCAUGGCUGCUCUGUUGAUGAGGAGUGGAGCAUGGCUGGGCCGGUACCUCCUCAAGUCAACAAUGAUUUCUUUGGUCUUGUCUACGUUCAGGAUCAGGUUGUUGUCUCUGCACUAGCCCACCAGCUGCUCCACCUCCUCUCUGUAGGCCAGGUCGUUGUUGUCCCCGAUGAGGCCCACCGCUGUUGUGUCACCCGCAAAUUUCACAAUGUGGUUGAUGGCGCACCUGGGGGUGCAGUCCUGUGUCAUCAGGGUGAAUAAAAAGAGGGCCACUAACUUUGGUGAACUAUGACAAGGCUAAAAGGGACUAAAAACACUUUUGUACUCUAAUAGAAAAUUGUUUUGGUCGCUGCAUAUUUAAAUAUUUGAUGGUUUCAUCUGAAAACCAGGGUAAUAAAAGUAGUGAGACUGGCCAUAACUCUGAGAUUAAAGGUCUAAAACCAAACCAAUGAUGCUAAAAGAUGCUAAAAUACCCAGUAGAGCAGAUAAAAAAACAACAAAAAUUGGUUAUGAUUCAUGUUCUGGUAACUGCAGUUGACUCUGAUUCUUUACACAGAGAUGUUGGACCUUUUUCUAAUGUAUCAAAGAACUUAGAAGUGCAGCUUAAACUCUGAAAAUCAAAACCUUAAAACCCCUUAACCUCAGAGUAAUGAGAUCAGCAAAGCACAAACACAAUAAAGGACACCAGAGGACAUCAUAUUUGGAUGAAAAUGAAGCAGGAGACAUUGACAUGAUGCUUUGACAUGAAGCGGUACGGGCUGUUCCUCCUCCUGAUUUCAGACAGAAAGGACACGUGGAAGCACUGAAGUCCAGUUUGAGGAGACCUACAUUCGGAGCAGCACUUUUGUUAUGACUCACAGGUCUUUUAUGCAGCAAUCAUGUGAAAUUUAUCACGCUGCAGACUCACUAAUCUUCAAGCUGGUGUUUUUGUUCCUGCACUACCUCAUCUCUGAAUUCAAAAGUGGAUUUCCAAUCCUUCAAAUAACUUCAUGACUUAUUCUUCGAUGACCCACUUCUUUACCCGGGCUGUCUCUUUAAAGAUAAACACAAGAAGAGUGGCGCACUUAAAGGUUAUAUCAGAGCGGUGAAAAAAAAAGAAAACAAAUCUACUUCCCUUUUAUUUCAGCGUGGUAACUAUCUCUUCGUGGAAGAACAGUUUACACAAGCAGGGUUACAAUUACAAGCUGUGAGAAUGGUAGGGCAUUCAGCCUCCCAUUCAGGACUGUCGUGAAAGCUGGUGUGUCUCCUCGAUGAUGAUGAUGAUUAAAGGGUGCAUGUUUACCGCAGGUAUGUAACAACCACUUCAGGCUGAGCUGGGCUCCCCUCAAGCUCCCAGGAAUGUAUGGGAGCUGCUCGCAGAGGAGAGAAAAGUACCAGUGUUUGGGGAAAACGCUGCCCCUCCUCCAGGCUUCGCGCUAAGCCACAGGACUGUAGGUGCACCAUGGAGCUGCAUAUUCCCCACUCAAGCAGCGUGAGAAUUUAGAGCCUGGGAGGACCCUGGGAAUCAGAAAGGAGAGACAUAUGGGUGUUUAUUUGCUUUCGAAGAAGUAGCCUUGCUGAGAAUGAAAUUGAGAGUUUCAGAUGGUCCUGGAACGAAGACUCAAGAUGGUUUGAAAUAUUGAAAAAAGUCAGUGUUUGCUUUUAAGGACACAAAAAACAAUGUGUAUUUUAUGCACACAAAAUCACAUAUUUUUAUGGAGGAGUGUAAUGUUGACACAAGGAAGGAGUUGUCUCUCACUGUGACUAUUUACCAUAGAGAGAAAAAUUAAAAAGGCUUUUUCUUCAGCCUGCUGUCAUCCACGUGGUGUGAUCCUACCCCCUCACAACAAUGCCAGGCUUCAAAAAUCACAACAGAGGAGUUAUCUGUGUUGAUCCUGAUGGUCUGGAUUGAUUUUAAACAUCGUAAAGAGGCAUCAGGAUGGGUUUUAGGGCACAUUCAUACCAGGAUUGUUUGGUUCGUUCUAAAAGGACCAUUGUACCCUUACUCCUUUGGUCCAGGUGGUAUCUAUGCGCAAGCGAACCGUGGUCCGGAUCAAACAAACGGACCAUGGUUUUCUUGAGAAUGUAGGAUUCGGUUCCCUUCCAAACCAACCAUGGUGGGUGACAACACAGCACGGAUGCAGCUGGACUUUUUAUAUGUUAAUAUCAACCAAUAACACAUUUACACUGUUAUGCCCAAGUCCCAUGUGAACACUAACCAAACCAAAUGCAAAAAUGUAAACAAUUGGUCCCUGAUCUGGACUUUCUAAGUGGACUUUGGGUGAGAAAGACCCCUUAGUCUGUUUCUCAACCAAAUGAAAACUCCUUAUAGUGCCUUUAACAAACGUCUGAUUCAAGCUAGUGUAAUUGUCUCGUUGUCCUUCUUAACAAAGCUGUCAGUCACAGCCAGAGACAAGAUUUCAGACGGUCCAUCCUCAGUCAUGCUGGUUUGAUAAAAAUGAUCCUGUUUUGAUUGAAACUCUGCACAGCCCGAUCCCCUUCAGGUGCUAAAUGCAGCACGAUACUGUACAUCGUAGUGUCUUGCCUGGCCUAAAAAACUAAAGCUGCUAAACUCAGUAUUCAUGUACUUUUUGAACAGUGCCUGUUCAGGGUGGGACUGUUGUGCCUUGAUAUCGCCGUGCUGGUUGGAUGAACUUGUUCCUCCUCUCUGUUUGAAGCUCGUACACUUUGUUUGCAAAACUCGCCUUUUUCUUUCUGCAAACUGAAAUGCAGUUGAACCAAUACGAUGACAUUAUGGGUUCAAUGCAAGAGUACAAAGGUGAAGAAGAGAUGGUGGAGAUCGUCCUUUAGUUGCUGAUGUGUAAUCCUAAUUUAUCAACUGUAUUAAAAAUGUCUAUAGCUUGCCCCCAAACUGCAAUUACCUGACAUCAAACAUAAUUAGGACACACUAUAUUACACAAUAACAACACUCAAUGAACCAAUUGCAUGACCCAGUAAACUAAAGUUGACACAAUGAGAACAUACUAAAUUUAAUUCUGUCUACUGUGCCGACAGAACGAGGUCUUGAAUUCUCUGUUUAUAAAUCUGUCUUGAUACGCUUUGUGGUGAGCAUUUGAGGAUGGUUAUAAAUAUUAACACGAAGGUGGUUAUGGCAAGACACAUAACUCUGGUCGAAAUAACAAUUCUCAUGAAAGUGGGCUGAAGUGAAGGGUGUGGAGGGAUGACAGAAGGGAAAAUGUCUGGAGAUGGGUAUCACUGCUGUUUGGUUAAAAGAGGAGAGGACUCUAAACUUUGUGUGUGUGUGUGUGUGUGUGUGUGUGUGUGUGUGUGUGUGUGUGUGUGUGUGUGUGUGUGUGUGUGUGUGUGUGUGUGUGACCCAGUUAACUCAGGCCCGUGUUUCCAGAUGGUUGUGUUAGUGCUUCACUGCUGGUCCAUGCUUCAGGGAGCUCUCUCUCUCUCUCUGUCAGUACCCCUCACUGACACCACUGAUAUCAAACUCUGCAAUGCACUGCACAUCCCAACAUAGCAGCACUGAAUAGAGCCUGUUUAGGGUUUUUUCUCAUAUUUCUUGUUUUAACUUUUGAAAGAAAACAUUGGUUUUUGACGCCUUGACUUUAUUUGACGCCUAUCUCUAUAACGCAUGAUAAAUAUAUAAAAUAUAUUAUACCUUAUUAUCAAGGUAUAGCACUGUAUAACUAUAGUUAUAAACACUCAUAAAUGAUCGUAGUGCUUUACAGCAAUAAUCAUAACACAUUAUGAAGCAUUUUAUCAUGACUUACAAGGUCAGGUCAGGCCAUUAUGAUCAUUAAUGUGUGUGUGUAAUGAUAAUUAUACAGUGCUAUAACGUCAUUAUAAUGCAUUAUAAAUAUAUUCAUAAUGCGUUAUAGAGACAGGCGUCAAAUAAAGUGUUACCAAAACAUCAAAUUAAUGUUUACUAUAUAAUAAAGAUAAAGUUUUAUAUUUAGGAACUUCAGUCACAUGAACACCUCAUGAGUAAAAACAUGGAUUUAUUCUCAGCUAGAUCAAUGAUUUACCUUUACGAAUAUGACUUGUAUAUCUUAAAUCACAGUUUUUAUUCUUUCAACACUGAAAAAAAUGCUUUGAAUAGUGUUUUACUGACUGGAUGUACAUGCCCUUGAAUAUUUACCGACAAUCAACGCAGGUGCCCAGCAAGGUGAUGGAUCAGCAGAACAAACACAGUGGUGGAAACAAGAGAGAAUUACCUCAGGAAGUGAAACUGGGUUUGGUCUUUUGGUAGAAAUUUUUUUUUUUUUUUUUUUAAAGUAAAUGGAAUUUUAGAUGGGAGAAGCACCAAAAUAUUGUCCUACAGACUACAGGACAACAGUUUCCCAGCUUUAGCAGGUCAGGUCACAUUUUACUAAAGAAACAUUGAUACCUGUCCAAACAUCAGAGCAAAAAUAGCUCUGUCCUCUUCAGCUUCUUUCAAAAUUUUACAAAACCCGCAGAUUCAUGUGCAAUCGCGCAAUAACGAGUUGUCUCUUAGCUACAGAGGCUAACCAUAAAAGCAGUAGAUUGUUUCCUUCCAGAGGAGGAAAUCCACCUCUAGACUUUAAAAUCAGCAUCUCCUCAUCCAUGGUGUCAACGGGGUGAAAUGCUGUCUAAAAACCUUUUACAUGUUUGCGUCUCCGCCUGUUUGCAUUGUGUGAAAUACAAUCCUCCUGAAACACAGUGUUUUAUUUUGAAAAGAAGCUGAAUGUUUUAUUUUGUGUCUUUUCACCGUUCUGCGAUAGCAUUGGAACAGAAAGAAGCCGGUUGAAAUUGACACAUUGACUUGAAUGGUUAUUUUCAGCUGCGAUCGGCAGGUACGGCCUUUUCGUAGCCGUUCCGGAUGCGGUUGGAGACUCUCUGCUUGUCAUCAUAGCAGGCGGGAGUCUUGAUAUGGGCUCCUGCAGUGUAGCUCAGCAGAAGCCAGUUGCUUAAAAGCAGCUGAGGACACAGACGACUCUACACCCACCUACGCAUUCAACACCACUGACUGUCUCACCAGUCACAGCUGGGUAUCUUCACUCAAUAAACACCACAGACACCUGCACACAGAAGAGGCAGCCAUCUGAUACACAGGAAGGAUAUAUUGAUUUAUUUACAAGAGUAUGAAUAACCCUUUUUCCUGUCAGCUUGUAAACAGUAUAUCAUAAAUAAGUCCAUAAGUGUGAAAAGGCGCAUAAUCAUAUUACUCAAGUCCAUGUGAUCACACCCAUCGACGUCGUGAUCUCUUAUGCUGCCAACAUGUAGCCACAAAGACUCCCCCAGCUAUGAUCAAGGUCAUCAUGUUCACCGGAGCAUCUAAGCAAUCUGUCACGGAAAGCUCCAGAACACCAUGACCCUGAUGUAGAACCAGUGUGUGAUAAAGCCUCCAUCCAUUUCCUGUUUACCUGACUCCACACCUCUCUGGCUUCGGGUCAACCCCCCCUCCUUCUGUCCUAAUGUUUUUUUUUUUUCUUUCUGUUCCUCUCAUCCUUCAAGCUUCUUUACAUAAUGCCUCCCUUCAUUUCCACUCUUCCUCGUCACCUUCCAUUUCCUCGCUCCUUCAUUUCCAUCGCAUCUUUUUCACCAUCAUUUCAUUUCCCUAUCUCAAGUUUCUUCCCGUCUUUUUCUGUUUACAUGUAACUUCAUUCUCCUCUAUUUCUCCUUGUCAUCCUCUUCUUCUGCUUUUCUUCAGCUCCACCUCUCCUUUGUUUACCUGAAGCUCUGUAGCCACGGUGACAGCCACGGUUGUCACAGUGAUCAUGUUACAACUAGGACAGCCAGUUCCGAGAAGGGGAAACAAGGGAUUCCCAAUAAUAUGCCACUAUUGUUCCCCAAAGGCUCUGUCCUUCUCUCUCUCAGUGCUACUCCAUUCUCAGAACACACACACAAACACACACACAAACACACACUUACAAGGGUGUAAGUGGGGGAAAAGGACACCACAUACACAGUUAUUCAUCAAGGAACAAAUAAUGUUCACACAGCAGCAACCACACUAACAGACCGCUCUGUACUGUAGGUCAAAGAGAGAGUAUUCAUUCACUUAGGCUCUUAUUACGCACCUGCAGGUAAAGGUAAAAUGGGUGCAUGGAUUGAGAUGUAGGCACAAAGAGGUCAGCUUGGGUCAGAUGGCUUGGCCACCAAGUAGGAUGUCAAAGAACUCAACCGAAGAAGCAUCCAAAUGACAAAAAUGAUUUUUUUUCAUGAGAGUAUGAAAAAAAUGAUGAAAAACCCUUUUCAUUUUGCGGGUGCAGUACACAAAAGUGAAGCAACAAAGCUCCGCUGUCAUCAGGCCUAUGUACCUUCAUAUUGAUCCUAUCGCAGAGUGAUAUUGGAGUCUCAGAGUGUGAUUUUCUGGAGAGGUAAACACACAGCUGGAGCUUCACACACACACACACACACACACACACACUCAGACACACACAUGCAUAAAUCCUGUCUGCAGUGGCUCUCAGUGUUCCUGUCUGGCCUCUGUCACUACCUCUAAUAAUAGCACAGAGGUAAGAACUAAGCCUCACCAGUAACCUGUGUGACAUAUUCAUAUUAAAGGUAAGACAUGACAGGGGCACACAUGUCUACAACCCACCUGGUUUCCCUUAGAAGUACUGUAAACCCUCUGGAUAAGAUUCCCACAUUAAAACUGACCAAUCGAGAAACUUCAGUUGUAGCGCCUGAUCAAAAGACUGUACUGCGAGCCCUUUAAAGUAACUCUGACGUCAUACAGUUGGGUCCUACUCAAGGUUUCUACCUGUUAAAGGGAAGUAUUUUCUUGCCACUGUCGCUCAUAUUGGUUGAGAUGGGUCAAAUCUGCCCCAUCUUAAGUUUGAGUCUUUGUAACACAUCAAAAAAUAAGUGUGGUCUGGCUCUUUUAGAAAGUGUCUUGGGAUAACAAUCGUUGUGAUUUGGCGCUAUAUAAAUAAAAAUUGACUAACUGAUGUUUGAUGAUACAGUCCAUACUGACUUCCAACUCUCCAGGCAGGAAAGUGAACCAAACGUUUAAAAUAUGAAAAUGCUUAAUUUGGUCCCUUUAUGUUUAAUUGUAUGUGCUGUUGAAAAGUGACACAGUAUGAAGAUGAAGAAGUGGAAAUGGGGGGACAAUUGCAGACAAGAUACCCUUAAGUAUGUGGUGACUGUGCUGUGUUUCUAUCUCUCUUUAUAAUCACUGAAAGCUCUAUAACAUCAUACCAGAGUCACUCAUCACUUUCACACACUGAUGGCAGAGGCUUUUAUGUAUAGAGUCUGUCAUUUUUUGACCAAACCUAUUUACACCCCAGUGGGUGCAGCCAGCAGAGGGCCGAUGGGAUCAAGUGUCCAGCCCUGGGAUCAUACCCUGACCUUUGAACCGGGAGAAAAACAGCUGAAUUACUGAGCCAUAGCCGCAUCUCAAGCUUACAGCACCUGCUAUUCCCAGGAGAUACUAACCAGGCCUGACCUGUACUUAGGGACUGAGAUUGGAUGAGAUCGGGCUUGUUCAGGAUGGUAAUGCAAUAAGCAAACAAGUGACUCAAGCCCAAGAGACUGCCGAUAAUUAAUGAUAAAUCUUUGUCACAUUAAAUUAUUAUUUUUUUACAAAUAUGCAGUGGUCUUAUCACAGUUGUACAUUUUUAUAUCGUAUACAAUUGCACCUGCAAUAAGAUACAUGUAUGCUUGUAAUCUUCCAAACUGAAAUGCUCUUUUACUUCAGUUUAAUAUAGCUCAACCGUGUCCC
This 17292-nucleotide long non-coding RNA is filed under the name Xyrichtys novacula (pearly razorfish). The record is from RNAcentral. Lineage: Eukaryota; Metazoa; Chordata; Actinopteri; Labriformes; Labridae.